AGGGAUUGCCCUAGUAACGGCGAGUGAAGCGGCAAUAGCUCAAAUUUGAAAUCUGGCUUCCUUGGAAGUCCGAGUUGUAAUUUGCAGAGGGCGCUUUGGCGUCGGUAGCGGUCUAAGUUCCUUGGAACAGGACGUCACAGAGGGUGAGAAUCCCGUACGUGGUCGACUACCUUCGCCGUGUAAAGCCCCUUCGACGAGUCGAGUUGUUUGGGAAUGCAGCUCUAAAUGGGAGGUAAAUUUCUUCUAAAGCUAAAUACUGGCCAGAGACCGAUAGCGCACAAGUAGAGUGAUCGAAAGAUGAAAAGCACUUUGGAAAGAGAGUCAAACAGCACGUGAAAUUGUUGAAAGGGAAGCGCUUGCCGCCAGACGUGCCCGUGGUGGUUCUCCUCCGCGGGCAGGCCAGCAUCAGUUUGGGCGAUCGGAUAAAGGCCUCUGUCAUGUAUCUCCCUUCGGGGUGACCUUAUAGGGGAGGCGUAAUGCGAUCAGCCUGGACUGAGGUCCGCGCAUCUGCUAGGAUGCUGGCGUAAUGGCUGUAAGCGGCCCGUCUUGAAACACGGACCAAGGAGUCUAACAUCUAUGCGAGUGUUUGGGUGUCAAGCCCGAGCGCGUAAUGAAAGUGAACGGAGGUGGGAACCCUUUGGGUGCACCAUCGACCGAUCCUGAAGUCUUCGGAUGGAUUUGAGUAAGAGCAUGGCUGUUGGGACCCGAAAGAUGGUGAACUAUGCUUGAAUAGGGUGAAGCCAGAGGAAACUCUGGUGGAGGCUCGCAGCGGUUCUGACGUGCAAAUCGAUCGUCAAAUUUGGGCAUAGGGGCGAAAGACUAAUCGAACUAUCUAGUAGCUGGUUCCUGCCGAAGGUCCGGACUAGAAAUAUACAAA
RNAcentral lists this ribosomal RNA (877 nucleotides) under Dictyosporium pandanicola. RNAcentral describes it as "partial 28S large subunit ribosomal RNA". It matches the Rfam family "Eukaryotic large subunit ribosomal RNA", at positions 70 to 995 of the family's 3401-position model. Lineage: Eukaryota; Fungi; Ascomycota; Dothideomycetes; Pleosporales; Dictyosporiaceae. The record is from RNAcentral.